Molecule: long non-coding RNA, 374 nt
Organism: Aethalodelphis obliquidens (Pacific white-sided dolphin)
Lineage: Eukaryota; Metazoa; Chordata; Mammalia; Artiodactyla; Delphinidae
Exons: 3
Source: RefSeq, a predicted model, not a curated record
CAACUUCUAAAAGAAUUUCAGAGAUGUUUCUGAAGAGAUGAGAUGCAGUACAUGUGCCUUCUGCAAAUUCAAUACAAAAAUUCAGAUAUGUACAACUGAUAAAUUAGAGUGAAGGUGAAACUGAAACCGAACGCCUCAGAUGGGAUUUGAAACCAGCCAAAACUCAGUUUCGGACUUGAACCCAUGGGCUGGGACUCGAACCCACCCACCAUCUUUUAAUUAAAAUCACUCGCCUGCUGUCAGGACUUAACUGAAGCUCAGGUCCUUUAUGUCUUGGCGAAGAAGGAAUUCAGCAAGAGGCAAAGUGAUUGGUAGCCUCGUCAUGCAGCAUGCCGGAUCUUAUUUCCCCCACCAGGGAUUGAACCCGUGCCCCC